CCUACGGGUGGCAGCAGUGGGGAAUAUUGCACAAUGGGGGAAACCCUGAUGCAGCAACGCCGCGUGAGUGAAGAAGUAUCUCGGUACGUAAACCUCUAUCCGCAGGGACGAAAAUGGCGGUACCUGCCUAAGAAGCCCCGACUAACUACGUGCCAGCAGCCGCGGUAAUACGUCGGGGGCAAGCGUUAUCCGGAUUUACUGGGUGUAAAGGGAGCGUAGACGGCAGCACAAGUCUGAAGUGAAAUGCCGGGGCUUAACCCCCGAACUGCUUUGGAAACUGUGUGGCUGGAGUGCAGGAGGGGUAAGCGGAAUUCCUAGUGUAGCGGUGAAAUGCGUAGAUAUUAGGAGGAACACCGGUGGCGAAGGCGGCUUACUGGACUGUAACUGACGUUGAGGCUCGAAAGCGUGGGGAGCAAACAGGAUUAGAUACCCCUGUAGUC
This 440-nucleotide ribosomal RNA is filed under the name uncultured bacterium. RNAcentral describes it as "partial 16S ribosomal RNA". It matches the Rfam family "Bacterial small subunit ribosomal RNA", at positions 338 to 795 of the family's 1533-position model. The record is from RNAcentral.